This is a long non-coding RNA of Pygocentrus nattereri (red-bellied piranha), 1422 nucleotides long. RefSeq lists it as uncharacterized. Lineage: Eukaryota; Metazoa; Chordata; Actinopteri; Characiformes; Serrasalmidae. The transcript has 3 exons. The record is from RefSeq and is a predicted model, not a curated record.
UGGCAGUGACACAGACCUGAGAGGUGGCUGAAGUCAAACUUUCCUCGCUGUUUGUGUCUGGGCUUUCCCGCCUCCUCGGUCAGCUCAGCUCGAGUCCGGUGAUCAAUAACCGCGCGCGUGAAAGAAAAAAAAAGCCCACUGUGGAAACUGUCGAGGCGAAAGGCAUCAUGAAGUUCACGUCUACGAAUCAAACUCCUACUCUUUGUGUCUCCAGAAAACGGUGUCCAGAGAUUUUCAAACAGAUCUGCAGGGAUCUUUUUCCAUACCUCCAAAAUUCAGUCUUAGAAGUUGGUUGCAUUUCCUGCUUCUCACAUUCCAGACCUUCAGGUUUUUGGGAACUAUCAUUUCCCAAGACGUGAAGUGGGAGACCAACAUCAACUCCAUCCUCCAAAAAGCCCAGCAGAGGAUGUACUUUCUGCGGCAGAUGAGGAAGUCGGGUCUGCCACAAGAGCUGAUGAGCCAGUUCUACACCGCAGUCAUCAAAUCUGUCCUGUGCACAUCCAUCAUGGUCAGGUUCAGAGCAGCCACAAAACAUGAUAAGAACACACUGCAACAAACAAUAAAGUCAGCAAAAAAAAAAAAAAAUCAUUGGUGCUCCCCUACCACCCUCUAGGAUUUCUAAGCAAGGAACCAGGAAACAGGUAAGGAAAAUCAUUACUGAUUCCUCUCACCCAUGACACAACCUUUUUCAACUCCUCCCCCUGGCAGGUGCUACAGAACCCUAUACAGUAAGACUGCCAGACACAGAAACAGUAUGUUUCCUCACAAAUAGCUGACUAGUAAUCUCAACGACUAGGCCAUAGCAAAUCUUGUUUUUUUGUCCAGUUAUAACACCCUACUUCAGACCAUUGUGCAGCACAAUUUCAUUCCCAUAUACGAUGUAGAUUACUGUUGUUUGCACUGCCACACACUUAUGUAUAUUGCUUACCCUUGUAUAUUGUGUAUUGUCUGAAAAUAAUGUGUACAUUGUCUGUAUAUUACUUGUCCAUUUAUAGUCUGCAUAUUGCUUGUAUACUGUGUAUACUGAGUAUUGUCUGUAAAUUAUUUGUACAUUGUUUGUAUAUUGCAUUUAAUAGUAGAAAGACAUCAAAGGCUGGAACCCAAUUCCUUGUGUGUGUCAACAUACUUGACCAAUAAAUCUGAUUCUAAAUGAGUCCAACUUUUCUUUAAAUACUUUUUUUUCCAUAUUUUCACCUGCCUUAUAUAAGUGGAUUGUUUUAUUCUCUUAUUCUCAGAAAUAUCUCUUUUAGACUGAAAAUGAACUAAGUAAAGCAUGGACUCUGACAGUAGAUAAUUUCUUUUAAUGAUUCACAUGUAUCCAUUUGCUGUUAUACACUUACAAUCCCUGAAGUCUGACUUGUACUAUUACUGAUCUACAAUCAUGUGUGUAUGCACAGGCAAUAAAAUGUCCAACCAUCCAAA